AGAUACAGUGCCAAACCAAAAAGGACCGCCGUCCUUGUUGCCUGGACGUCGUUCUUAUCCUGUUGAGUUUUGGGACAUGGACAAAGAGCUUUGUGAGGUUCCAGAUUGUUUCUGCUUGUACAGCGUCAGGAGGUGUGGCGUGUAUCUAUCCAGCGAUGCAAAAAAACUGAAUGGGAGGUUCUGAUUGGUAAUACGGUGGAACUCCUUGUAAAGCUGUGAAAAAAAACAUCAAA
Long non-coding RNA from Alosa sapidissima (American shad), 233 nucleotides. RefSeq lists it as uncharacterized. Lineage: Eukaryota; Metazoa; Chordata; Actinopteri; Clupeiformes; Clupeidae. The transcript is spliced from 2 exons. The record is from RefSeq and is a predicted model, not a curated record.